AGUGAACGCUGGCGGUAGGCCUAACACAUGCAAGUCGAACGGCAGCACAGUAAGAGCUUGCUCUUACGGGUGGCGAGUGGCGGACGGGUGAGGAAUACAUCGGAAUCUACUUUUUCGUGGGGGAUAACGUAGGGAAACUUACGCUAAUACCGCAUACGACCUACGGGUGAAAGCAGGGGAUCUUCGGACCUUGCGCGAUUGAAUGAGCCGAUGUCGGAUUAGCUAGUUGGCGGGGUAAAGGCCCACCAAGGCGACGAUCCGUAGCUGGUCUGAGAGGAUGAUCAGCCACACUGGAACUGAGACACGGUCCAGACUCCUACGGGAGGCAGCAGUGGGGAGUAUUGGACAAUAGGCGCAAGCCUGAUCCAGCCAUACCGCGUGGGUGAAGAAGGCCUUCGGGUUGUAAAGCCCUUUUGUUGGGAAAGAAAAGCAGCAGGUUAAUACCCCGCUGUUCUGACGGUACCCAAAGAAUAAGCACCGGCUAACUUCGUG
RNAcentral lists this ribosomal RNA (492 nucleotides) under uncultured bacterium. RNAcentral describes it as "partial 16S ribosomal RNA". It matches the Rfam family "Bacterial small subunit ribosomal RNA", at positions 29 to 507 of the family's 1533-position model. The record is from RNAcentral.